UGCUGCUCAAUGAUGACAGUAUCAUCUACGGAGAAUAUAGAAAGAUUACCAGAAGGGCAUGAAAUAUUCGGGUUACGAGUAUUAAAUACUUUGUGUCCAACUUAAAUCGCGGUAUGUCACAAAUUGGAAAUUUCUUUCACCAGAAAAUUGUGGAUUUAUUUAAUAAUACAUUGACUUUGUGUAAGCAAAUUUGGGCUGUGAAUGAUUUCCAAAGUGCAAGAAUCGUGGAACAAAUUGGUAGAAAAAAAAAAGAGUUCAAAAAGUCG
This 266-nucleotide long non-coding RNA is filed under the name Mytilus galloprovincialis (Mediterranean mussel). Lineage: Eukaryota; Metazoa; Mollusca; Bivalvia; Mytilida; Mytilidae. The record is from RNAcentral.